AUUCUUGAUACAAAUAGAAUUGCCCCUUCCCCUUGCCUCCUCUUGCAAGUGGGCCCACAUUGGAAUGUUUUAUAAUCUUUCAUGCACUGGGAAGGUCACAAAUAUCACUAAUAUGCUUUAGGUUUCAGCUCAGUCAUUUCUAUCUUCCUUUUAUCCUGAACUGUUUACGCUAACUCCCCAAUGUUUGUCAAAUAGUCAUCAUCCACAUCACUGAAUUUUUCAUAUUUUCCAAACAUUUCCCCUAAGUAUUUUCUUUCACAGACUUGAGUUACAUUGAAAGCAAGAGCCACAUUCCACUCAUCUUCAGAAUUCCACAACACAAAUUCAGAGCUUUAGACAUUGUAGACCAGCACUGUAAAACAGAAUCUUCUGUGAUGAUCGAAAUGCUUCUCUAUGCUAUCUAGUACAGCAGCUACUAGCUACUGUGGUUAUCACCCAUUUGAAAGGUGAAACUCAAGAACUGAACUCUUAAUUAAAAUUAAAAUGUGGACUGGACCUACUGAAUCGAACAGCACAUUUGUACACAAUUAGUAUAGUGGUUCAAAGAAUUACUUUUUAGUUGGCUUUUUGGAUGGUUGUAUUUUUAUUCCUUUUUAAAAUAUAUAUUUGUUUUUCAAGGCUUACUGUAAAUUAGAGGGAGCAAAUUGGAGGAGAAAUGACAAAAGAAACAGAAAAAAUGUUUAAUCAGACAAAGGAACUAAAAAACCUCAGUCUUAAUUAGAAGAUGGUCAAACAAAUCUCUUAACUGAUGUUCACAAUGAUGGUUUCAAGUCAUCUAAGGAAUGGCUGGCUCUUGGAUGGAUGUUUGGCUGAAACAUUUUACCAUCGUGGACACCAUGCUUACUUUAAAUGAUUCCAGGAAUUUGCAGAAUGUGGAGAUAACAUCUGUUACCAAGGAUAGCUCCUCUCCUCCAGAAUAACUGAGGAGCCUGAAUAAUUGACUCUAUCAUUUGAAACCUAUAUCCUGAACAUGUUUCAGUAAUAAUUCUGUGACCAUAAUUCUGUGUCUCGUUCUCCUUUCAAGACUGAAUGAUAGGUAAGGAAAAGUCCGUAUCUUCUAUAUAUGUAUGGCAUUUAGCCUCAUUUUUAUGAGUAACUUGUUUUUUCUGCUUACAGUUAACCUACCUUUACUUUUCAUAUAUCAGGUUUUUUUCAUAUAUCAAGUGUGAUCUUGGCAGCUUCUUUGUCUUCUGAAUUUCUUGCCUUUUUUUUCAAGAUAUAUACAUUUAUAUGUAUCAAAUAUAUAU
This is a long non-coding RNA of Pan paniscus (pygmy chimpanzee), 1247 nucleotides long. Lineage: Eukaryota; Metazoa; Chordata; Mammalia; Primates; Hominidae. The record is from Ensembl.